Molecule: long non-coding RNA, 3034 nt
Organism: Brachypodium distachyon (stiff brome)
Lineage: Eukaryota; Viridiplantae; Streptophyta; Magnoliopsida; Poales; Poaceae
Exons: 2
Source: RefSeq, a predicted model, not a curated record
AUCGAAUUGGGUCGGGUAUGGGUAGAAAAUAUUUUGCCCAAACCAGAUGGGUCGAGUGUGGGGAAUUUUCCAAAGGAAACGGGUAAAUGGGUACUGGAGCCAAGCCUCAGCCCAAGAAGGCAAGAAAGAUAAAAAAGGAAUCUCGUAUGUGGAUGGAUCCCAAUCUUCCUUAUCCCAAAUUUCCUAAUCGUUCGAGGAGAUCGUGGGCGGCGGCUGGAGGUAGUGGGGCGGCGGGCGGCGGCCAGUGCCGACGGGCGUGCGGGCGGCGGCCGGAGGCAGGGGGCGUGCGACGGGCGGCCGCCAGCGCCGACGAGCGCGCGGGUGGUGGCCAACCGCUGAAGGGAGCGCGCGAUGAGCAGCGGCCAACACCGACGAGCGCGUGGGCGGCUGCCAACCGCCGAAGGCAGCGCGGGAGGCGGCCACGGCGGUUCGUACUCUCCUCCGCCUUCUCUCCGGCCCUCGACUCAUUCGAUCCCCAUCCUCAUCGACGGCGACGUGCCUCGACGCCACGGCGGCAGACCUGUGGGCGCGGGUAGGUGGUGCUGCUGCGGUGGCGGAUCUACCUGCAGAUAAUUAACUGAUUUUGUGUCUGGAAUUUGCCAUCGUUUCGGUGGUAGCAUGGUUUGUAUUAUUUGGUAUGAAAUCUGAAUUUGUUCUGAUUGAUCCAAUAUUGCCCAAAUAUGCAAUGCAUAUGGGUAAAAUGAGUAAUGGGCAAAUUCGGGGAAGGUGAAUACGGGGAUUUUUCAUGUUUGGUUGGGCCGCUCAACUUGGACGGCCAAGUUGGGUGGGUUGGGGCCAACCACAUUUUUCUGGUUGGGGCCAACCACCUGAGUGUUUGGUUGUGUGGGUGGGGCGAACCCAAAUUCAUGUUUGGUUGCCUAGUCGGACUGAAUGGGUCAGCCCAGUUUCAUGUUUGGUUGUUGGUUUUUUCAUCCGGCUCUUCUUCCACCUCUGUGGUUAGACUCCGUUAACCCAAGCUCCACCACCGCCGCUUGAUCUCCCCUUCGAUUCUCUCACUUCCGGCAGUUUUUCCACAAAUUGAAGAACUGGAAUUGUUCUCCUUCUCUGCAAAAAAAGGAAUUAUUCUCCUUCACUGUAUGAAUCGAUUUUUGCCUGUUAUCUCCUAAAUCUUUCUUAAUUUCAGAUCAAAAUGGAUAGUUUAUCAGGUCAAAAACUUCCUACGUUGGGUCUUCUCCCCGUGUACAUGUCGAGAGGAAGGGCGCAGAGGAAGAAGACGGACGGGGUAGCCGCGGAGGCGGCCAGAGCAAGGGCCGGAGGCGAGCAGCAAGGCCGGCCUGCGCCGGUGGUUGGCCGGAGGAAGGACCAGAAGCGUCCAUGUCGGGAUCGAAGUGGGAGGGGGCAGAGGAAGAAGAAGGAGGGGCAGAGGAAGUCGAGGUCGGCGGCGGCGAGCAGCAGGACUGCCGUCCCCCGGCCUCCACCAGCCGCCCCUUCUCUGGCAGCGAGGGUUCAGCGGCCGGCGGCGGGGCGCGCGACGGCAGGCUCCUCGCAGGCGACGGUGGCGUCGACGGGGCUCGUAGGCGACAGCGCAAGGUCGGAGCAGCAUCUGCGCGAGGUCGGAGCAGCGACGGCAUGAGGUAGAGACGGGCGAGAGAGGGACGGGCUCGCGUGAGGAAGCAGACGGGCGAGCGAGAGAGCGCUUCGCCUGACGAAGAAGACUCGUAAGAGGCCGCCCCGCUCGUGAGCCGCGUGAGUCGACCGAUUUGGCCGGCUCACGCGGACCAGCGUUUCGGAACUUUUUUCGUUCCAAGCCAGCCACGCCCCGAAGCCAAACACGAGCAAAAACUGUUUUGGGCCAGUCGGCACUGCGCGGGGCGGCCCAACCCUGUGAACCAAACAAUAAUCUGCCAAUCUAACGAGCAAACGUUCCCACGGUUGUCUUGCCGUGCGGCGUGUCUCCACAUCCGUUUGAUCACUCUUGUACGUUUCCGUCCGUUCAAAGGCCAGCUCUCUCCUUAUCCACUGCCGUCUCUUUCUUCGUUUCCCACUUCCGACCUUGUUCCCAACCCCAGUUCAUCUCUGUGGCCGAUGGUCCUCUCCCCCGCCACGUCCUUCUGACCUUCUCUCUCUCUCUCUCCCGCUAGCGCCGCCGCUGCCAGCGACCACCGGACGACGGAGUCCCGCCAUGUCCCUCUCCCUCUCUCUGCUAAUGCUGCUGCCGCCAGCAACCGCCACCCCCGGCGGUCAUCUCUCCCGACAUGUCCUUCCUUACAGCGUGUGGGACGCCAGCAUGCAGAGGAGAAGGUAGAAGGCGGCGUCGGCGAAGGCCUCCUGAGGUCUCGGAGUCUUCCCUGAUCCCCUCGGCCCGAUCCCCUCUCCGGCUCUCCCGUUCCCCUGACCUGGCGACCUGGGCGGGCGCAACUGCCUGCGUGGCGGCGCAACGGAAUUCUGGUGACCGGCCCUGGGAUUCCCCUUCGUCUCCUCUCUCCCUCGACCUGGCGACCUUCGACCCGGCGGCCGGCGACCAGUACCACAGCAGCGGCCCGACGGAUGGCAACCAGCAGCACUACAACAGCAACCCUACGACGACUCGCAAGAAUCGGUCGAACCCUCCCCGAGUACUACUGACUGUUGUCUCCCUCUGUGAAUCUCGAUUUGUCCAAUCAGCAGUUGCUUUAACCGGGGGAUAAGAGAGAUCAGUGGUGCUAGAACUUGCGAUUAGGCUGAAAAUGGCUAAAAAGGUCAACACUGAUUUGUACUUCAGAAGACAAAGAACAGAGGCUGAUACAGGAAGACAGUACUACUAGGAGUAGUAUUUUUGGAGACUGAUUGGUAUGAUCAAGUACUCCGGUCGGAAUUACUUGUCGAAAUAUUACAUGUAUCUAGACAAUUUUUACACAUAGAUACAUCCGUAUCUGGGCAAAUUUGAGACAACUAAUAGUGGUAGGGAGUAGUAUAUUUUGGUAUAGUACAAUAGUUAGUUAUGUUAUGAAGUAGUUCAAUAUAUAUGGAUCUCAUCAUACAUGUAUUUUGCAACCAAUCUGGCCAAUAUCAAAUAUUCUCUAAUUCUUGCUCA